RNAcentral lists this ribosomal RNA (433 nucleotides) under uncultured bacterium. Its description in RNAcentral is "partial 16S ribosomal RNA". It matches the Rfam family "Bacterial small subunit ribosomal RNA", at positions 29 to 507 of the family's 1533-position model. The record is from RNAcentral.
AACGAACGCUGGCGGCAUGCCUAACACAUGCAAGUCGAACGAGACCUUCGGGUCUAGUGGCGCACGGGUGCGUAACGCGUGGGAAUCUGCCCUUGGGUUCGGAAUAACAGUUGGAAACGACUGCUAAUACCGGAUGAUGACGUAAGUCCAAAGAUUUAUCGCCCAAGGAUGAGCCCGCGUAGGAUUAGCUAGUUGGUGAGGUAAAGGCUCACCAAGGCGACGAUCCUUAGCUGGUCUGAGAGGAUGAUCAGCCACACUGGGACUGAGACACGGCCCAGACUCCUACGGGAGGCAGCAGUAGGGAAUAUUGGAAAAUGGGCGAAAGCCUGAUCCAGCAAUGCCGCGUGAGUGAUGAAGGCAUUAGGGUUGUAAAGCUCUUUUAACCGGGAUGAUAAUGACAGUACCGGGAGAAUAAGCUACGGCUAACUACGUG